GGAAGGGUAGCCGAGUGGUCAAAGGCAGCAGACUGUAAAUCUGCCGACAUUGAGUCUACGUAAGUUCGAAUCUUACCCCUUCCACCA
This 87-nucleotide transfer RNA is filed under the name Holosporales bacterium. RNAcentral describes it as "tRNA-Tyr". It matches the Rfam family "tRNA". Rfam says of the family: Transfer RNA (tRNA) molecules are approximately 80 nucleotides in length. Lineage: Bacteria; Pseudomonadati; Pseudomonadota; Alphaproteobacteria; Holosporales. The record is from RNAcentral.